CUUCCUCUCUCUUCUCUCUCAUCUCUCUCCCUUCUUUUUAUCUCUUCUCUCUUUCUCCUUUCUCUCUCCCUCUUCUUUCUCCCUUCUCUCUUUUCUUGUUCUCUCUCUCCUUAUUUCUCUCUUCUUUUUUCUCUCUUUCCUCUUCUUGUUACUUCGCUCUUUCUUUCUGUCUUUUAUGUUUCUUUCUAUUCCUUCCCCUUCUCUCCCCUCUCUUUGCCUCUCUUCUCUCCCUCUCCACUCUAGGCCACCGACUAAGUUGCACCCCCUCUCUAUCUUUCUCCCUUUCUCUCUCUUCUUCCCUCUUACGAGCUCGUGGUGG
Molecule: long non-coding RNA, 319 nt
Filed under: Amborella trichopoda
Lineage: Eukaryota; Viridiplantae; Streptophyta; Magnoliopsida; Amborellales; Amborellaceae
Description: long non-coding RNA (ATRI_LNC001419)
Source: RNAcentral